Molecule: ribosomal RNA, 459 nt
Filed under: uncultured bacterium
Lineage: Bacteria
Description: partial 16S ribosomal RNA
Rfam family: Bacterial small subunit ribosomal RNA
Source: RNAcentral
CCUACGGGAGGCAGCAGUGAGGAAUAUUGGUCAAUGGCCGGAAGGCUGAACCAGCCAAGCCGCGUGAAGGACGAAGGUGCCAAGCAUUGUAAACUUCUUUUGUCAAGGGACAAAAUCAGACUCGUGAGCCUGACCGAGGGUACUUGAAGAAAAAGCAUCGGCUAACUCCGUGCCAGCCGCCGCGGUAGUACGGAGGAUGGGAGGGUUAUCCGGAUUUAUUGGGUUAAAAGGGUGCGGAGGCGGACUGUUAAGUCAGCGGUAAAAGCCCGGGGCUCAACCCCGGCGAGCCGGUGACACUGGCUGUCGUGAGAUGUCGAGAGGUAUGCGGAAUGCGCAGUGUAGCGGUGAAAUGCUUAGAUAUUGCGCAGAACUCCGAUUGCGAAGGCAGCAUACCGGCGGCGAUCUGACGCUGAGGCACGAAAGCGUGGGUAUCGAACAGGAUUAGAUACCCGGGUAGUC